UACUGACGCGAGACAGUGCCUUCGCGACAAUAGUCGUGCGUGUCCAUAACGUUGGGAGUAGAAGCCUGUGUAUUCUGUACACGAACAUCUUUGUUCACAUAAACAAACAGUGAGCUUGAUCUUACUGGGUAGCGGACGACGUAAACUGCGUUGAAUGUUUUGAUAUAUAGGAAAUAUGCGGCUAUGAAACUGAAGCGAGAAGAUGUGAUUUUCUGUUGGAAAAGACUGACAAUAGCAUGCCACGAAUAACUGGUUGACCUCUCAGAUAAACAUGGAUGUUUCUAAGGAAGCGGAACUGAGGCAUUUAAUUCGUAGGGAACAGCGUCGAAAUCGAAGGAGACGAAGGAGAAAUGAAGUUGGUUCGUGUGUAAUUUGUCAAGAAAAUGUACUAAGGAGUGUUAGCAGUGUUUUAUCUUGUGGACACUACUUUCACACACACUGCAUUUUUGCAUGGAUUAAUGCUAAUACCUCUUGUCCAACAUGCAGAGCACCAGUUGAAUGUUACAAUAUAUGAACAUGAACAGUGAUGUGGUCUUAAGAUACUGGAGAAGAAUAUUUCUUUCUUUGUUGUGUAUGUACCAGAGACAAAUGUUACCUACUGUUAGCAAAAAAAAAAAAAAAAAAAAAAAAAAAAAAAAAAAAAAAAAAAACCACCCUUGUCUGUCUAGAACUCACUGUUACAAAAGGUGCUGCAUUGGCAUGCCAAAUUUACUAUAGCGGUAGUUCAGAAUUCAUAUAAAAUGAUAUAAACUCUGUCGUGUGUAUGUUGAUAUAUCAGCAUUGUGUUGUAUUGAACUAAUUUUAAGAUACAUGUUGUGAAAUAUUGUUACUUUUGUGUUUCAUACUCCUUUGUCUCACAAAAAGUGUCUGAAAUGUGUUCUUGGUAUAAAACAAGAAGACAGUUACAAGUACACAAAUGUAAGGAGAAUAGAGUCAAGAAGAUGUAUCAGUGGAGAAUGUAUGUAGAAAAAAAGAUGUAAAAGAAAACAAAUGUGGAAUAAACUUUUUAAGUGUA
Molecule: long non-coding RNA, 1015 nt
Organism: Schistocerca gregaria
Lineage: Eukaryota; Metazoa; Arthropoda; Insecta; Orthoptera; Acrididae
Exons: 3
Source: RefSeq, a predicted model, not a curated record